This 123-nucleotide transfer RNA is filed under the name Vibrio phage phi-pp2. RNAcentral describes it as "Vibriophage phi-pp2 tRNA-OTHER". The record is from RNAcentral. Lineage: Duplodnaviria; Heunggongvirae; Uroviricota; Caudoviricetes; Pantevenvirales; Straboviridae.
UGCGGGUUGGUGUAAGUGGUAGCACACGUAGCACAAAACUGAUUCUGAUAAGAAUCUGUACGGCAAUCAAUUUCGCAUAUCAUUCAUAAGAUCGUGAUGUAGGUUCGAAUCCUGCACCCGCAA